Long non-coding RNA from Bufo gargarizans (Asiatic toad), 205 nucleotides. RefSeq lists it as uncharacterized. The transcript has 4 exons. The record is from RefSeq and is a predicted model, not a curated record. Lineage: Eukaryota; Metazoa; Chordata; Amphibia; Anura; Bufonidae.
GAGGUCCAGCUUCUUCACAUCAUUGGACUCCAUUUCCAGCGACUCAAAGAAAAGCUCAAGGUUAUCGUCCAGGACUCAAAACAACGGAGGUGUCCAAAUAAACAAGGUGCAGACAGCUGUGGAUUAAUGGUGCAAACCUACAUCAACUGUAAGACCUGCUCCGAGGAGAAGGUUGUCUGCGCCGGGGGCCCUCCAAAAAAUCAAG